This 329-nucleotide unclassified non-coding RNA is filed under the name soil metagenome. Its description in RNAcentral is "partial contains 5.8S ribosomal RNA, internal transcribed spacer 2, and large subunit ribosomal RNA". The stretch from base 1 to 120 matches the Rfam family "5.8S ribosomal RNA", at positions 35 to 154 of the family's 154-position model. The record is from RNAcentral.
GAUGAAGAACGUAGCGAAAUGCGAUAAGUAAUGUGGAUUGCAGAAUUCAGUGAAUCAUCGAAUCUUUGAACGCACAUUGCGCCCCCUGGUAUUCCGGGGGGCAUGCCUGUCCGAGCGUCAUUACAACCCUCAAGCUCAGCUUGGUGUUGGGCCCCGCCGCCCCGGCGGGCCCUAAAGUCAGUGGUGGUGCCGUCCGGCUCCGAGCGUAGUAAUUCUUCUCGCUCUGGAGGUCCGGUCGUGUGCUCGCCAGCAACCCCCAAUUUUUUUCAGGUUGACCUCGGAUCAGGUAGGGAUACCCGCUGAACUUAAGCAUAUCAAUAAGCGGAGGA